Molecule: long non-coding RNA, 234 nt
Filed under: Elaeis guineensis (African oil palm)
Lineage: Eukaryota; Viridiplantae; Streptophyta; Magnoliopsida; Arecales; Arecaceae
Description: long non-coding RNA (EGUI_LNC002978)
Source: RNAcentral
GCCUCUAUCAUCAUGACCACAGUCACGAUACUGAAGAUUAUUUGCAGCUCCGAGAUGAGAUAGAGAGGCUCGUUAGGCAGGGGAGAUUGAACUAUUUCGUUCGAAGGGCAGUACCUCAAUGUCGACCUUCAAGAGCUUAGCAACCACCUUCUUUGCCUCAGCAAUCGUUCCCUCUGCCUCAGCCAUAGUUGGUACCAGUGCAGAAAGGAGACAAGAAGCAGGGAGACAGGCGAU